RNAcentral lists this ribosomal RNA (676 nucleotides) under Polaromonas sp. B842_3. RNAcentral's name for it is "bacterial SSU rRNA". It matches the Rfam family "Bacterial small subunit ribosomal RNA", at positions 83 to 751 of the family's 1533-position model. Lineage: Bacteria; Pseudomonadati; Pseudomonadota; Betaproteobacteria; Burkholderiales; Comamonadaceae. The record is from RNAcentral.
UCCUGGUGGCGAGUGGCGAACGGGUGAGUAAUAUAUCGGAACGUGCCCAGUCGUGGGGGAUAACGUAGAGAAAUUUACGCUAAUACCGCAUACGAUCUAAGGAUGAAAGCGGGGGACUUCGCAAGAGGCCUCGCGCGAUUGGAGCGGCUGAUAUCAGAUUAGGUUGUUGGUGAGGUAAAAGCUCACCAAGCCGACGAUCUGUAGCUGGUUUGAGAGAACGACCAGCCACACUGGGACUGAGACACGGCCCAGACUCCUACGGGAGGCAGCAGUGGGGAAUUUUGGACAAUGGGCGAAAGCCUGAUCCAGCAAUGCCGCGUGCAGGAAGAAGGCCUUCGGGUUGUAAACUGCUUUUGUACGGAACGAAAAGGUCUGCCUUAAUACGGCGGGCCCAUGACGGUACCGUAAGAAUAAGCACCGGCUAACUACGUGCCAGCAGCCGCGGUAAUACGUAGGGUGCGAGCGUUAAUCGGAAUUACUGGGCGUAAAGCGUGCGCAGGCGGUGAUGUAAGACAGUUGUGAAAUCCCCGGGCUCAACCUGGGAAUUGCAUCUGUGACUGCAUCGCUAGAGUACGGUAGAGGGGGAUGGAAUUCCGCGUGUAGCAGUGAAAUGCGUAGAUAUGCGGAGGAACACCGAUGGCGAAGGCAAUCCCCUGGACCUGUACUGACGCUCAUG